RNAcentral lists this long non-coding RNA (447 nucleotides) under Melopsittacus undulatus (budgerigar). RNAcentral describes it as "lncRNA (ENSMUNG00000001084.2)". Lineage: Eukaryota; Metazoa; Chordata; Aves; Psittaciformes; Psittaculidae. The record is from RNAcentral.
AUUAACUAGAGACUGUUUGGGCUUGUUUUAAAAGUAAUAUACUAGAAUAUCUGUGCUCAGCAAGUGUUGUUCAGAGGUCCAGCUCCAGUGAAUUUGCUCUUUAAAGAGGGAUACAGCACUGAUUUCAGUAGAAAGGGGAAUGGCCCAAAUGGACUAAAACAUUGGAAAAAGUGGAUUACAGAAUCAGUUCUUGAUUUCAUUUACCACAGAAUGCCUGCAGCACAUGUGGACACUAGUGGAAUUGACCCGGCAAAGCAGAACCCAGUUUUUUCUUUAACUCUAACAUGGGUGCUGCAUCUGCACAGAGAAUGGGAAUUGUGUACCAUGUAACCAGACAGCUAUACACCUUCAGCUGCAGACCACUGAGUGGAGUCUAUGGACCACCAGCUUGGAGAGCCUCUGCUUUAAACCUCUAAAUGAUUCAACAUUUGUGUAAGUCAGACACGU